GCGGGCAUGGCGGAACUGGUAGACGCACCGGACUUAAAAUCCGGAGCUGGCAACGGCGUGCCGGUUCAAUUCCGGCUGCCCGCACCA
This 87-nucleotide transfer RNA is filed under the name Alphaproteobacteria bacterium. RNAcentral describes it as "tRNA-Leu". It matches the Rfam family "tRNA". From Rfam's summary of the family: Transfer RNA (tRNA) molecules are approximately 80 nucleotides in length. Their secondary structure includes four short double-helical elements and three loops (D, anti-codon, and T loops). Further hydrogen bonds mediate the characteristic L-shaped molecular structure. tRNAs have two regions of fundamental functional importance: the anti-codon, which is responsible for specific mRNA codon recognition, and the 3' end, to which the tRNAs corresponding amino acid is attached (by aminoacyl-tRNA synthetases). tRNAs cope with the degeneracy of the genetic code in two manners: having more than one tRNA (with a specific anti-codon) for a particular amino acid; and 'wobble' base-pairing, i.e. permitting non-standard base-pairing at the 3rd anti-codon position. The record is from RNAcentral. Lineage: Bacteria; Pseudomonadati; Pseudomonadota; Alphaproteobacteria.